RNAcentral lists this long non-coding RNA (986 nucleotides) under Volvox carteri. Its description in RNAcentral is "long non-coding RNA (VCAR_LNC002743)". The record is from RNAcentral. Lineage: Eukaryota; Viridiplantae; Chlorophyta; Chlorophyceae; Chlamydomonadales; Volvocaceae.
UUUGACUUAAUCUAAUAACUCCUUAGUGUAAAACGCAGUCUUUAAAUGGCAAACGCAUGCCUGGAAUCUGCUUUUGAAUUUCCGCCGUACAGCAAAUGCGGAAAUGCGGAUUCUCUUUCCGCAUUUCCGCCAAUCUGGGCUUCGCUGCGGAAAGCGUGACGAAACCUAUUUACGCAGGUUUCCGUUUACGCAGGUUUCCGUUUCGGCUCGUUCCCUGGUUACCGGCCGCCUUCCACCCGAAACCAUUUAGAUUGACGCUAAAAUAUCUUUCGAGUUUUUGCAAAAACAACUUCGGGUGGCUGCACUGGGGCCCUGGAAGCCGUGCUUCGCACGGAAUCAAAACCAUUUGGAUCACUACGGGGUACCUCAAUUUCCUCUGUAGGGCAAAGUAAAAAAUUCUCUAAAAUGUCUACUGGGACUCUGUUUUCGGUCACCGACUUGGGGGUCACCGACCUCUGCCAGCAGGGUCAGGCAUGCAAAAUGGAUGCAACACAACCAUGUGCACGCGAUAUGGGUCCUGUAACGCCGCUAAGGCGGCCCUUGGCUCACCGGGCCAACGGUAUCGUACCAACGGUACAUCCAAGAACUAUUCAUAAUCUUCCAAUACCAAACGGUAUUUAUCAAUACCACCUUUUAUCGUUGGAUAAUUUCCUUUUUCGCAACUGCUUGCCAACUGCAAGCUUUGUUACAAUUUUGGUAUCUGAGACCAACCGGUCAAACGACCUCGGAGUCAAGCACUCCAUCGCUUCCGCAAACACAUUCCAACUUAAGAAACAUUUUCUAUCUGACUUACAUGGCGAGCCCAGGGAAUACCAUGCGCACCCAGUCGGCGAAGGUCCAGCAAGCUGCAGCUCACGAAGGACUUUCUCCACCAAGUUUGCCGAUGCCCGUGAAGGGAACUACCCAAGCUAGCGCCACCAGCAGCUCAGUGCGCUAUCGAGAAAGCUUGCACAUCCGAUUUACUCUCAGCCACAAAGACUAGAAAC